UACGGGGGGGGCAAGCGUUGUUCGGAUUUACUGGGUUUAAAGGGUGCGCAGGCGGAUAUGUAAGUCAGUGGUGAAAUCUCCGGGCUUAACCCGGAAACUGCCGUUGAUACUAUAUAUCUUGAAUGCUGUGGAGGUAAGCAGAAUAUGUCAUGUAGCGGUGAAAUGCUUAGAUAUCGGGAGGAACACCAGUGGCGAAGGCGGUUGCCUGGAGCUUUGCUGACGCUGAGGCGCGAAAGCGUGGGGAGCGAUCCGG
This 253-nucleotide ribosomal RNA is filed under the name uncultured bacterium. Its description in RNAcentral is "partial 16S ribosomal RNA". It matches the Rfam family "Bacterial small subunit ribosomal RNA", at positions 524 to 776 of the family's 1533-position model. The record is from RNAcentral.